CGUUGAAACUCCUAUUUCUGUACGAUCACCGAAGUUAAGCAACGUCGAGCCUGGUCAGUACGUAGAUGUGUUACUGCUUGGGAAUUCCAGGUGCUGUAA
This is a non-coding RNA of Acanthosepion pharaonis, 99 nucleotides long. The record is from the annotation of a GenBank genome assembly. Lineage: Eukaryota; Metazoa; Mollusca; Cephalopoda; Sepiida; Sepiidae.